UAAUACGGAGGAUGCAAGCGUUAUCCGGAUUUAUUGGGUUUAAAGGGUGCGCAGGCGGGUUUGUAAGUCAGCGGUGAAAUCCUACGGCUCAACCGUAGAACUGCCAUUGAUACUGCAGACCUUGAGUGUAUUUGAAGUGGGCGGAAUGUAGCAUGUAGCGGUGAAAUGCAUAGAUAUGCUACAGAACACCAAUUGCGAAGGCAGCUCACUAAACUACAACUGACGCUCAUGCACGAAAGCGUGGGGAGCAAACAGGAUUAGAUACCCUGGUAGUCCACGCUGUAAACGAUGAUUACUCGUUGUUGGCAACACAUCGUCAGCGACCAAGCGAAAGUGAUAAGUAAUCCACCUGGGGAGUACGGCCGCAAGGUUG
RNAcentral lists this ribosomal RNA (373 nucleotides) under uncultured bacterium. RNAcentral describes it as "bacterial SSU rRNA". It matches the Rfam family "Bacterial small subunit ribosomal RNA", at positions 521 to 896 of the family's 1533-position model. The record is from RNAcentral.